RNAcentral lists this ribosomal RNA (255 nucleotides) under uncultured bacterium. RNAcentral describes it as "partial 16S ribosomal RNA". It matches the Rfam family "Bacterial small subunit ribosomal RNA", at positions 524 to 776 of the family's 1533-position model. The record is from RNAcentral.
UACGUAGGGGGCGAGCGUUGUCCGGAUUUACUGGGCGUAAAGAGCGCGUAGGCGGAGCGUUAAGUCCGGUCUGAAAGCCCCCGGCUCAACCGGGGAAGGUGGCUGGAAACUGGCGUUCUGGAGGGCGAUAGAGGGGGGCGGAAUUCCUGGUGUAGCGGUGAAAUGCGUAGAGAUCAGGAGGAACACCCGUGGCGAAGGCGGCCUGCUGGGCAGUUUAGCUGACACUGAGGCGCGACAGCGUGGGGAGCAAACAGG